GAUCCUGGCUCAGGAUGAACGCUAGCUACAGGCUUAACACAUGCAAGUCGAGGGGCAGCGGGAUUGAAGCUUGCUUCAAUUGCCGGCGACCGGCGCACGGGUGAGUAACGUGUAUCCAACCUUCCGUACACUCAGGGAUAGGCCUUUCGAAAGAAAGAUUAAUACCUGAUGGUAUCUUAAGCACACAUGUAAUUAAGAUUAAAGAUUUAUCGGUGUACGAUGGGGAUGCGUUCCAUUAGGUAGUAGGG
RNAcentral lists this ribosomal RNA (248 nucleotides) under uncultured bacterium. RNAcentral's name for it is "partial 16S ribosomal RNA". It matches the Rfam family "Bacterial small subunit ribosomal RNA", at positions 15 to 253 of the family's 1533-position model. The record is from RNAcentral.